Molecule: ribosomal RNA, 428 nt
Filed under: uncultured bacterium
Lineage: Bacteria
Description: partial 16S ribosomal RNA
Rfam family: Bacterial small subunit ribosomal RNA
Source: RNAcentral
GUCGAGAAUCUUCCGCAAUGCGCGAAAGCGUGACGGAGCGACACCGCGUGAUGGAUGAAGUCCUUCGGGGCGUAAACAUCUUUUAUAAAGGAGGAAAUUUUUGACGUUACUUUAUGAAUAAGGGGCUCCCAAUCUCGUGCCAGCAGGAGCGGUAAUACGAGAGCCUCAAGCGUUAUCCGGAAUCAUUGGGCGUAAAGGGUGCGUAGGUGGUUUGAUUAGUCUCCCGUUAAAACUUCGAGCUUAACUCGAAAAGAGCGGGGGAAACGGUCAAACUAGAGUAUGUGAGAGGUGUGUGGAACUCAUAGUGUAGGGGUGAAAUCCGUUGAUAUCAUGGGGAACACCAAAAGCGAAGGCAGCACACUGGCACAUCACUGACACUGAGGCACGAAACCUAAGGUAGCGAAUGGGAUUAGAUACCCCUGUAGUCC